Molecule: long non-coding RNA, 1055 nt
Filed under: Homo sapiens (human)
Lineage: Eukaryota; Metazoa; Chordata; Mammalia; Primates; Hominidae
Description: HSALNT0098664
Source: RNAcentral
UAAUCCCUCAAGCGUGCUCAUCUCACUCUCCAAACCUGCCCUCUUGCAGGGUCCAUGCUUCUUCUAAGUGUCCUGGUCACAAGGCAGCUGGAUCGACACUCAGAGGUACAGAGCAGAGCAGAGUGUGGUCCCUGAAUCUGUCUCACCCCCACGAUCUUUACACACAGAGACCUUCCCAGGAGCUGUGACUUGAACUUCACAAUCUGCAGGGUCCACCCAGGAGCCGUGUCCUCCUCACAGGCAAUUGGAUCCCCUCCUCUCUCAACCUGUGUGGGAAGACUGGAAACAAAAAAUAGAGAAAGUUGGAGGUAAAACACUAAGGGGAUGGGCAUCCCCAGGACAGAGGAAAACACUGAGGGGAUGGAUGGGCCACACCUGAGCAUCCUCAGGACCGAGGGAAACACUGAGGGGAUGGAUGGGCCACACCUGAGCAUCCUCAGGACUGAGGGAAACACUGAGGGGGUGGAUGGACCACACUUGAGUGACCCCAGGACAGAGGGAAACACUGACGGGAUGGAUGGGCCACAUCUGAGAGUUCCCAGGGCCGACAUAAAAAACCUAUUGGGAUAGACCAAACCUGUGAGUCCCCAGGGUGCAGUAAACACUAAAUUAAUAGACCACACCUGAGGGUCUCGAGGACCGAGGUAAAACACUCAGGGGAUGGAUGGGCCAUAUCUGAGGGCCCCCAGGACAAAGGUAAACAAUAAGGGGAUGGGCCACACCUCAGGGUCCCCAGGACAGAGGUAAACACUAAGCGGAUGGAUGAACCACAACUGAGAUUCCCCAGAAUAGAGAUAAAACACUUUGGGGAUCGACCACAUCUGAGGGGCCCAAGGCAGAGGUAAACACUAAAGAAAUGGAUGGACCACACCUAAGGGUUCCCAGGAUAGAUGUAAACACUAAUGGGACGGAUAGACCACACCUGAGAGUCUCGAGGACAAUGGAAAAACACUAAUGGGAUGGAUUGACCACAACUGAGGGUCCCCAGGACAGAGGUAAACACUAAUGGGAUGGAUAGACCACACCUCAGGGUCUCCAGGACAGAGGUAAAAACC